RNAcentral lists this long non-coding RNA (523 nucleotides) under Rattus norvegicus (Norway rat). Its description in RNAcentral is "long non-coding RNA NONRATT006841". The record is from RNAcentral. Lineage: Eukaryota; Metazoa; Chordata; Mammalia; Rodentia; Muridae.
GGCUCUGGCUAUGGCUGUGGAUACGGCUCUGGCUAUGGCUGUGGAUACGGCUCUGGCUAUGGCUGUGGAUAUGGCUCUGGCUAUGGCUGUGGAUACGGUUCCAGGUAUGGCUGUGGAUAUGGCUCUGGCUAUGGAAAUGGCUGUGGCUGUGGAUAUGGCUCCUACUACAGGUCUGGCUGCUGUGGCUACGGACCAUCUUGCUACAGGAGAUGCUAUUCUUGCUGUUAGAACACUCCUAAGAGAGGACCAGUUGCUGCUGAACUGACACUUCUGAAGACAAUGCUUCUUUAAAGACCCCUGGCCAAGAUCUCUAUGUCCAAGAAAUCACGAAUCUGACAAAGCCUUUCACCUCCAGCUGCACAUUUUUAGAAGGCAUCUUUGUGAUCCUGGGAUCUGCAGUAUCGUCUCACUGGCUCUGCUUUCUUGCCAUCUGGUUCUGUUGCCUGAGCAUGUUAAUGGCUGCAACAUCAACAGCUGGCAAUGUGAUUUCUUUUCAAUAAAAUGGGUCUUGGUUUCUAACAAA